Molecule: non-coding RNA, 28 nt
Filed under: Mus musculus (house mouse)
Lineage: Eukaryota; Metazoa; Chordata; Mammalia; Rodentia; Muridae
Source: RNAcentral
UAAGUGAAGGUCUUCAAAUCCUUGGGUC